CUGCCCAUCUCGUGCAUCUGCCCGUGCUGCCUGUGCGUGACGCUGCUGCUGGAGGCGGCGGUGGAGCUCGUCAAGGCGCCGCUCCACGUCAUGACGUGGUUCACCUCCAAGAUACCCUGCUGA
This 123-nucleotide ribosomal RNA is filed under the name Triticum aestivum (bread wheat). RNAcentral's name for it is "partial small subunit ribosomal RNA". Lineage: Eukaryota; Viridiplantae; Streptophyta; Magnoliopsida; Poales; Poaceae. The record is from RNAcentral.